This 827-nucleotide long non-coding RNA is filed under the name Populus trichocarpa (black cottonwood). RNAcentral describes it as "long non-coding RNA (PTRI_LNC004689)". The record is from RNAcentral. Lineage: Eukaryota; Viridiplantae; Streptophyta; Magnoliopsida; Malpighiales; Salicaceae.
AGAUUGAGUGGGAGGCAACAAUGCAAGGGUAUUUUUGUAGUUUACGCGGAAGAAGCAUUUCCAAAAAAAAUAUUCAUCACACAGGUUAUAUAUGUUUGGCUUUCAAAAACUCCCAGCUCUCAAGUUUACAUGGAAGAAGCAUUUCCUGAUGGAGAACAUUUUGCAGCACUAUACAAGCUUUUCACAGAGCUCGCUCAAGAAACAUAGAAGCUGAUAAGAAUACUGGUAGCCCAAGUGAAGGGAGACCAGUUAGCCUCGCAACUGCAUCAAGAAGAAAUUAGGAACGGUAACGAGGUCCAGAACACAAAACCUCCUGCAUCAUCAGCUGCAAUCAGAACAAUUAUAUGAAUUAUGGUUUGAUCCCGGGUGGAGAGUGGUUGAAAUUGUUGGUUUUGUGGUGGAGGUGGGGAAGAGAGAGGGGACUGCUGGUCCUGGUUAUGGUGGCUGUUGCAUGGGUGUACUAUGAAUUCUCGUUUGGAAUCCCCUGAUUGUUGUAGUUUUGUCAAGCGGCAUGGUGGCCGGUUGUGAAGAAGCUGUCGUGAUUGGUCUUUGGUGUGGAUUGUCUGGGUUGGUCGGUAGUGGCUAGCUGCUAUCUGUGGGCAGUGGCGUGAUUAACAGCUAGGGUUUUGGAGAGAAAUAGUUGAUCUUUGUUCGGAGAGAGGGAAAUCAAGAGUUCUACCAUUCGACAAAUAAGCGUUGUAUUCAAUUUGCAUGCAAUUUGUCUUUUGGUUGAAACAAUCUAUUAGCUUUUGAUUAGAACAAGAAGAGAUGGAACGGAAGGGAGAAAGAGUCUGAAGAAACAAUUACAGAAAACUUGCAUAAGGGGG